RNAcentral lists this ribosomal RNA (465 nucleotides) under uncultured bacterium. RNAcentral describes it as "partial 16S ribosomal RNA". It matches the Rfam family "Bacterial small subunit ribosomal RNA", at positions 28 to 507 of the family's 1533-position model. The record is from RNAcentral.
GACGAACGCUGGCGGCGUGCUUAACACAUGCAAGUCGAACGGAAAGGCCCCUUUGGGGGUACUCGAGUGGCGAACGGGUGAGUAACACGUGAGUAACCUGCCCUUGACUUCGGGAUAACUUCAGGAAACUGGGGCUAAUACCGGAUAGGAAUCCUUGCUGCAUGGUGGGGGUUGGAAAGCUUCGGCGGCUUUGGCUGGGCUCGCGGCUUAUCAGCUUGUUGGUGGGGUAGUGGCUUACCAAGGCGUUGACGGGUAGCCGGCCGGCGAGGGCGACCGGCCACAGUGGGACUGAGAUACGGCCCAGACUCCGACGGGAGGCAGCAGGGGGGAAUAUUGCACAAGGGGCGGAAGCCUGAUGCAGCAACGCCGCGUGCGGGAUGACGGCCUUCGGGUUGUAAACCGCUUUCAGCAGGGGCGAAGCUUGUGGUGACGGUACCUGCAGAAGAAGCACCGGCUAACUACGUG